GUGGGGAAUAUUGGACAAUGGGCGAAAGCCUGAUCCAGCCAUGCCGCGUGUGUGAAGAAGGUCUUCGGAUUGUAAAGCACUUUAAGUUGGGAGGAAGAGUAGUAACCUAAUACGUUGCUACUUUGACGUUACCGACAGAAUAAGCACCGGCUAACUUCGUGCCAGCAGCCGCGGUAAUACGAAGGGUGCAAGCGUUAAUCGGAAUUACUGGGCGUAAAGCGCGCGUAGGUGGUUUUGUAAGUUGGGGGUGAAAUCCCCGGGCUCAACCUGGGAACUGCCUCCAAAACUGCAUGACUAGAGUACGGUAGAGGGUAGUGGAAUUUCCUGUGUAGCGGUGAAAUGCGUAGAUAUAGGAAGGAACACCAGUGGCGAAGGCGACUACCUGGACUGAUACUGACACUGAGGUGCGAAAGCGUGGGGAGCAAACAGGAUUAGAAACCCGGGUAGUCC
Molecule: ribosomal RNA, 450 nt
Filed under: uncultured bacterium
Lineage: Bacteria
Description: partial 16S ribosomal RNA
Rfam family: Bacterial small subunit ribosomal RNA
Source: RNAcentral